UACGUAGGGUGCAAGCGUUGUCCGGAAUUAUUGGGCGUAAAGAGCUCGUAGGCGGUCUGUCGCGUCGGGCUGUGAAAACUCGGGCUCAACUCCGAGCUGCAGUCGAUACGGGCAGGCUAGAGUUCGGAGCAGGGGAGGACGUGGAAUUCCGUGGUGUAGGCGGUGAAAAUGCGCAGAUAUCAGGAGGAACACCGAGUGGCGAAGGCAGGUCUCUGGGCGAUUAACUGA
RNAcentral lists this ribosomal RNA (228 nucleotides) under uncultured bacterium. RNAcentral's name for it is "partial 16S ribosomal RNA". It matches the Rfam family "Bacterial small subunit ribosomal RNA", at positions 524 to 743 of the family's 1533-position model. The record is from RNAcentral.